RNAcentral lists this ribosomal RNA (740 nucleotides) under uncultured bacterium. RNAcentral describes it as "bacterial SSU rRNA". It matches the Rfam family "Bacterial small subunit ribosomal RNA", at positions 8 to 796 of the family's 1533-position model. The record is from RNAcentral.
AGAGUUUGAUCCUGGCUCAGAACGAACGCUGGCGGCAGGCCUAACACAUGCAAGUCGAGCGCCCCGCAAGGGGAGCGGCGGACGGGUGAGUAACGCGUGGGAACGUACCCUCUUCUACGGAAUAGCCUCGGGAAACUGGGAGUAAUACCGUAUACGCCCUUUGGGGGAAAGAUUUAUCGGAGGAGGAUCGGCCCGCGUUGGAUUAGGUAGUUGGUGGGGUAAUGGCCUACCAAGCCGACGAUCCAUAGCCGGUUUGAGAGGAUGAUCAGCCACACUGGGACUGAGACACGGCCCAGACUCCUACGGGAGGCAGCAGUGGGGAAUCUUAGACAAUGGGCGCAAGCCUGAUCUAGCCAUGCCGCGUGAGCGAUGAAGGCCUUAGGGUUGUAAAGCUCUUUCAGGGGGGAAGAUAAUGACUGUACCCCCAGAAGAAGCCCCGGCUAACUCCGUGCCAGCAGCCGCGGUAAUACGGGGGGUGCAAGCGUUGUUCGGAAUUAUUGGGCGUAAAGCGCGUGUAGGCGGUUUGAUUAGUCUGAUGUGAAAGCCCUGGGCUCAACCCAGGAAGUGCAUUGGAAACUGUCAGACUUGAAUACGGGAGAGGGUAGUGGAAUUCCUAGUGUAGGAGUGAAAUCCGUAGAUAUUAGGAGGAACACCGGUGGCGAAGGCGGCUACCUGGACCGAUAUUGACGCUGAGACGCGAAAGCGUGGGUAGCAAACAGGAUUAGAUACCCUGGUAGUCC